GAUGAACGCUGGCGGCGUGCUUAACACAUGCAAGUCGAACGAUGAACCGGGUGCUUGCACUCGGGGAUUAGUGGCGAACGGGUGAGUAACACGUGAGCAACCUGCCCCUGACUCUGGGAUAAGCGCUGGAAACGGCGUCUAAUACUGGAUAUGUCCCGUCACCGCAUGGUGUGCGGGUGGAAAGAUUUUUCGGUUGGGGAUGGGCUCGCGGCCUAUCAGCUUGUUGGUGAGGUAAUGGCUCACCAAGGCGUCGACGGGUAGCCGGCCUGAGAGGGUGACCGGCCACACUGGGACUGAGACACGGCCCAGACUCCUACGGGAGGCAGCGGUGGGGAAUAUUGCACAAUGGGCGGAAGCCUGAUGCAGCAACGCCGCGUGAGGGAUGACGGCCUUCGGGUUGUAAACCUCUUCUAGCAGGGAAGAAGCGAGAGUGACGGUACCUGCAGAAAAAGCACCGGCUAACUACGUGCCAGCAGCCGCUGUAA
This 485-nucleotide ribosomal RNA is filed under the name uncultured bacterium. RNAcentral's name for it is "partial 16S ribosomal RNA". It matches the Rfam family "Bacterial small subunit ribosomal RNA", at positions 28 to 523 of the family's 1533-position model. The record is from RNAcentral.